UGCCCUGACCAGGGCCCAAAGGUCCCUCCAGGGCUGUCCAGGCUCUUCUGGCUCCCAUCCCUCCAGGGAUGUCCAGGUUGUGUUCCUGACCCAUCUCUCCAGGAAUGCCCAGCUUGUUAUCCUGUCCCAUCCCUCCAGGAAUGCCCAGCUUGUUAUCCUGUCCCAUCCCUCCAGGGAUGUCCAGGCUGUUUUCCUGACGCAUUUCCAGGUUCUUUUCCUGUCCCAUCUCUCCAGGGAUGCCCACGCUGUCCUCCUCACCCAUCCCAGCAGGAAUGCCCAGGUUGUUCUCCUGAGGCUGUCCAGCUUGUUCUGGUUCCCAUCUCUCCAGGGAUGUCCAGGUUGUUCUCCUGAGGUUCUUCUCCUGUCCCAGCCCUCCAGGGCUCCCCAGCUUGUUCUCCUGAAGUUCUUCUCCUCUCCCAUCUCCCCAGGCAUGUCCAGGUUUUUCUCCUGAGGUUCUUUUCCUAUCCCAUCCCUCCAGGGCUGUCCAGGCUGUUUUCCUGACCUAUCUCCAGGUUCUUCUCCUGUCCCAUCUCUCCAGAGAUGUCCAGGUUUUUCUCCUGAGGUUCUUCUCCUGUCCCAUCCCUCCAGAGUUCCCCAGCUUGUUCUCCUGAAGUUCUUCUCCUGUCCCAUCUCUCCAGGGCUGUCCAGGCUGUUUUCCUGACCCAUCUCCAGGUUCUUUACCUGUCCAAACCCUCCAGGGAAGCCCAGGUUAUGUUCCUGAGGCUGUUUUCCUGUCCCAUCUCCCCAGAGAUGCCCAAGUUUUUCUCCUGAGGUUCUUCUCCUGUCCCAGCCCUCCAGGGCUCCCCAGGUUUUUCUCCUGAGGUUCUUUUCCUCUCCCAUCUCCCCAGGGCUGCCCAGCUUGUUCUGGCUCCCAUCCCCAAGUCCCUUCCCUCUGUCAGCAGACCCCGAGUGCCCCUGCCCAGAGCCAUUCCCAGUGCCCAGAUCUGCCCCACAGCUGGGACACAUCUGGGCUGGCAGCUUCCAGGAGGAGCUGGCCCACGCCAAGGCAGGAGGAAAGGCUGGAUUGCUGCUGGGAGCACACAAACCCCAGCCCUGCCUGCCCUGAACGAGCUGUUUGGGAUUUUUGUUUGUUUUGUGGAGGCGUGUGGGCAGCCAGAGGCACUGGAGGGUGCAGUGUUGUUAUUUUGGCCGGGUUUUGUCCGCCUGUUCCUCGCCUGGGUCACUCCCUGCCGUCUGAGCCGGGCCCUCAAAGCUUUGGGAUCGUCCCUUUCCCGUCAGGGGUCAGUGUUCUUGGUUUUAUUUUUAAUUUUUGUCUCAAAUUAAAGGCUGCCAGCCUCCCUUUCCCACAGGGCUGGCUUGCAGCUGUUCUGGGGACAGAUUUGGCACCGCCUGCGCCACUUCCAGAAACACUUCUGGGGUCUGGACUUCCCGCCCUGAGCUCUGAGGCUGCAGCAGGAAGGAUUUGGGACAAAAAUCCUAUUUUGAGUCCUGGAAUAAAUUCCCCUCUGCCUCAAGGCUGAAAACCCCUUUAUUUGGAAUAUUUUCCCUUUAUUUGGAAUAUUUCUUAUAUUCCCUUUAUUUGGAAUAUUUUCCCUUUAUUUGGAAUAUUUCUUAUAUUCCCUUUAUUUGGAAUAUUUUCCUUUUAUUUGGAAUAUUUUCCCUUUAUUUGGAAUAUGUCUUAUAUUCCCUUUAUUUGGAAUAUUUUCCCCUUUAUUUGGAAUAUUUCUUAUAUUCCCUUUAUUUGGAAUAUUUUUUUUUUAUAUAAAUGUGAGGAAGUUUCCCUGCACGGAGGCUGCCCUGAUGCUCAAAUAAUAGUUUUGAUAAUUUAAGUGCCUAAAGUGCUUCCACACUGAGCUUUCAGGUGGUGAGAAAGGAGCUCAAAUUCUUCAUUCAGGUGAAGGGGUUUGGUAGGAAAGGGCUCAAAUUCUUCAUUUCAGGUGAUUUGGUAAGAAAGGGCUCAUAUUCUUCAUUUCAGGUGAAGGGGUUUGAUAGGAAAUGGCUCAAAUUCCUCGUUUCAGGUGAUGGAAAAGAGCUCAAAUUCUUCAUUUCAGGUGAUUUGGUGAGAAAGGCCUUAAAUUCUUCAUUUCAGGUGAAGAGGUUUGGGGAAAAGGCUUCAAAUUCUUCAUUUCAAGUGAUGGGAAAAGGGCUCAAAUUCCUCAUUUGAGGUGAAGGGGUUUGGGGAAAAGGGCUCAAAUUCUCCAUUUCAGGUGAUGGAAAAGGGCUCAAAUUCUUCUUUUCAGGUGAGGGGAUUUGGGGGAAAAGCCUCAAAUUCCUCAUUUCAGGUGGUUUGGUGGAAAGGGGCUCAAAUUCUUCAUUUCAGGUGAAAGAGUUUGGUGGCAAAGGGCUCCAAUUCUUCAUUUCAGGUGAAGGGGUUUGGGGAAAAGGGCUCAAAUUCUUCAUUUCAGGUGAUGGAAAAGGGCUCAAAUUCCUCAUUUCAGAUUAAGGGGUUUGGGGGAAAGGCCUCAAAUUCCUCAUUUCAGGUGUUUUGGUGACAAAGCGCUCAAAUUCUCCAUUUCAGGU
This 2481-nucleotide long non-coding RNA is filed under the name Zonotrichia albicollis (white-throated sparrow). RNAcentral's name for it is "lncRNA (ENSZALG00000009125.1)". The record is from RNAcentral. Lineage: Eukaryota; Metazoa; Chordata; Aves; Passeriformes; Passerellidae.